GACAGAGGGUGCAAACGUUGUUCGGAAUUACUGGGCGUAAAGCGCGUGUAGGCGGCGUGGCAAGUCGGGCGUGAAAGCCCACGGCUCAACCGUGGAAGAGCACUCGAAACUGCUGCGCUAGAGUUCUGGAGAGGAAGGCGGAAUGCUUGGUGUAGAGGUGAAAUUCGUAGAUAUCAAGCGGAACACCGGUGGCGAAGGCGGCCUUCUGGACAGUGACUGACGCUGAAACGCGAAAGCGUGGGGAGCAAACAGGAUUAGAAACCCCCGUAGUCC
This 273-nucleotide ribosomal RNA is filed under the name uncultured bacterium. RNAcentral's name for it is "partial 16S ribosomal RNA". It matches the Rfam family "Bacterial small subunit ribosomal RNA", at positions 524 to 796 of the family's 1533-position model. The record is from RNAcentral.